Long non-coding RNA from Nicotiana tabacum (common tobacco), 981 nucleotides. RefSeq lists it as uncharacterized. The record is from RefSeq and is a predicted model, not a curated record. Lineage: Eukaryota; Viridiplantae; Streptophyta; Magnoliopsida; Solanales; Solanaceae.
AUCGGAGGGUAGUGUGUCCGCAGUGUGUAUGCAGAUCUUACCCCUACCCGAAGGAGCAGAGAGGCUGUUUCCGAAAGACCUCGGCUCAAAAAAAAAACAAAAAGAAAACUUGUACAUCCUUCAACGCAGUAGAUCCAUCCAACACUUAGUUCUCAAUGAUUUUCUCUUCAACUUAAAUCGUUCUCUUUAUUUUUAUGUAAUAUCUCAUUCCGUUCUCUUUAUUUUCUGUGUACUUUCCUGCUUAAUUAUUGGUUUCAGAUCUAAAGCUUGAGAUGAAGAGGUAAUAGCUUUGGUGGAAGAUGUAAUGAUUCACGAAGAGCAUUCUUCGAACUCUUGUUGCAUUUUGGAGUCAAUUGGAAGUGAUUUGGAAAGUUUUCAUGCAAAGUGAAGUAAAAAAAGGAAGAAUUUAGAUGAAGUAUAAGUUUGGUGCCCGGGUCCCGGACAACGAAGCGAGGUUAACUUCGCGAGACCGGGACCCGAGCAGAAGAACUAGAAAAGUCUCGGACCGCGAAGCGAGGGUCACUUCGCGAGACCGGGACCGGAGCAGAAAAUUUCAGCUUCUCCCAUCUGAAUUAGCAGAAACCCAAUUUGCCCCAACAAACCCUAGCCACUAUAAAUACAUCGAAAAACAUGCUUUUAAGGUGGAGACACUACUUUGGGAGGGGAGAAGACUUUGGGAACAUUAUUUGGAGGCAAGAACAUCACGUGGAACAACGUUUCGAGGAGAAAAUCAUCGAGUUCUUCAUUCCUUCAUCUUUUCUUUGUAAUUUGUUUAUGCAAAAUACUUGGAAAAUUGUUACUAGGAACAUGAGUGGCUAAGCACUCUAGUUUCUAGGGUUGUGGUUGACGUGAUUAUUAACGUUUAUUAAUUACAUCUUCGUUAAUUCGGAUUAUCUUGUGGUUAUUUUCUUAAUUCUAGUUUUAACUUGUGAAUUGUUGUAGUUACCAAUUCACCCUACUAUCUAUGCUAUGCUUGGGAAA